This 1248-nucleotide ribosomal RNA is filed under the name metagenome. RNAcentral's name for it is "bacterial LSU rRNA". It matches the Rfam family "Bacterial large subunit ribosomal RNA", at positions 1688 to 2925 of the family's 2925-position model. The record is from RNAcentral.
GCUUGAGAGAACUCAGGAGAAGGAACUCGGCAAAUUGACACCGUAACUUCGGGAGAAGGUGUGCCUUUAGUAGGUGAACCAUUUACUUGGCGAGCCCAAUGAGGUUGCAAAAAAUCGGUGGCUGCGACUGUUUAUUAAAAACACAGCACUCUGCAAACACGAAAGUGGACGUAUAGGGUGUGACGCCUGCCCGGUGCUGGAAGAUUAAAUGAUGGGGUGCAAGCUCUUGAUUGAAGUCCCAGUAAACGGCGGCCGUAACUAUAACGGUCCUAAGGUAGCGAAAUUCCUUGUCGGGUAAGUUCCGACCUGCACGAAUGGCGUAACGAUGGCCACACUGUCUCCUCCUGAGACUCAGCGAAGUUGAAAUGUUUGUGAUGAUGCAAUCUCCCCGCGGAAAGACGGAAAGACCCCAUGAACCUUUACUGUAGCUUUGUAUUGGACUUUGAACAGAUCUGUGUAGGAUAGGUGGGAGGCUUUGAAGCAGGGUCGCUAGAUCUUGUGGAGCCAACGUUGAAAUACCACCCUGGUGUGUUUGAGGUUCUAACCUAGGUCCAUUAUCUGGAUCGGGGACAGUGCAUGGUAGGCGGUUUGACUGGGGCGGUCUCCUCCCAAAGCGUAACGGAGGAGUUCGAAGGUACGCUAGUUACGGUCGGACAUCGUGACGAUAGUGCAAUGGCAUAAGCGUGCUUAACUGCGAGACUGACAAGUCGAGCAGAUGCGAAAGCAGGACAUAGUGAUCCGGUGGUUCUGUAUGGAAGGGCCAUCGCUCAACGGAUAAAAGGUACUCUGGGGAUAACAGGCUGAUACCGCCCAAGAGUUCAUAUCGACGGCGGUGUUUGGCACCUCGAUGUCGGCUCAUCUCAUCCUGGGGCUGUAGCCGGUCCCAAGGGUAUGGCUGUUCGCCAUUUAAAGAGGUACGUGAGCUGGGUUUAAAACGUCGUGAGACAGUUUGGUCCCUAUCUUCCGUGGGCGCUGCAGAUUUGAGGAAGCCUGCUCCUAGUACGAGAGGACCGGAGUGGACAUACCUCUGGUGUAUCGGUUGUCACGCCAGUGGCAUUGCCGAGUAGCUAAGUAUGGAAGAGAUAAACGCUGAAAGCAUCUAAGCGUGAAACUCGUUUCAAGAUGAGAUCUGCCGGGGCCUUGAGCCCCCUAAAGAGUCGUUCAAGACCAGGACGUUGAUAGGUCAGGUGUGGAAGCGCAGUAAUGCGUUAAGCUAACUGAUACUAAUUGCUCGUGCGGCUUGACCCC